RNAcentral lists this ribosomal RNA (587 nucleotides) under uncultured bacterium. RNAcentral's name for it is "bacterial SSU rRNA". It matches the Rfam family "Bacterial small subunit ribosomal RNA", at positions 338 to 917 of the family's 1533-position model. The record is from RNAcentral.
CCUACGGGAGGCAGCAGUGGGGAAUAUUGGACAAUGGGGGCAACCCUGAUCCAGCCAUGCCGCGUGUGUGAAGAAGGCCCUCGGGUUGUAAAGCACUUUCAGCGAGGAAGAACGCCUAGCGGUUAAUACCCGCUAGGAAAGACAUCACUCGCAGAAGAAGCACCGGCUAACUCCGUGCCAGCAGCCGCGGUAAUACGGAGGGUGCAAGCGUUAAUCGGAAUUACUGGGCAUAAAGCGCGCGUAGGUGGCUUGAUAAGCCGGUUGUGAAAGCCCCGGGCUCAACCUGGGAACGGCGUCCGGAACUGUCAAGCUAGAGUGCAGGAGAGGAAGGUAGAAUUCCCGGUGUAGCGGUGAAAUGCGUAGAGAUCGGGAGGAAUACCAGUGGCGAAGGCGGCCUUCUGGACUGACACUGACACUGAGGUGCGAAAGCGUGGGUAGCAAACAGGAUUAGAUACCCUGGUAGUCCACGCCGUAAACGAUGUCGACCAGCCGUUGGGUGCCUAGCGCACUUUGUGGCGAAGUUAACGCGAUAAGUCGACCGCCUGGGGAGUACGGCCGCAAGGUUAAAACUCAAAUGAAUUGACGGA